AUGAGUGGCUGAAUUAGAGAUCGGCACUCGUCAUUUUAAUUACAAUUUGGAGUUAUACUAUGUCUCUAAGUACUGCUGCAAAAGCGCAGAUUAUUGCUGAAUUUGGUCGCGGCGCU
This 116-nucleotide non-coding RNA is filed under the name Xenorhabdus thuongxuanensis. RNAcentral describes it as "S15". It matches the Rfam family "Ribosomal S15 leader". Rfam says of the family: The E. coli Ribosomal S15 gene 5' UTR can form two alternative structures. One that is a series of three hairpins, The other includes a pseudoknot. The record is from RNAcentral. Lineage: Bacteria; Pseudomonadati; Pseudomonadota; Gammaproteobacteria; Enterobacterales; Morganellaceae.